AACGAACGCUGGCGGCAUGCCUAACACAUGCAAGUCGAACGAGAUCCUUCGGGUGUCAGUGGCAGACGGGUGAGUAACACGUGGGAACGUACCCUUUGGUUCGGAACAACUCUGGGAAACUGGAGCUAAUACCGGAUACGCCCUUUUGGGGAAAGGUUUAUCCGCCGAAGGAUCGGCCCGCGUCUGAUUAGCUAGUUGGUGGGGUAACGGCUCACCAAGGCGACGAUCAGUAGCUGGUCUGAGAGGAUGAUCAGCCACACUGGGACUGAGACACGGCCCAGACUCCUACGGGAGGCAGCAGUGGGGAAUAUUGGACAAUGGGCGCAAGCCUGAUCCAGCCAUGCCGCGUGAGUGAUGAAGGCCUUAGGGUUGUAAAGCUCUUUUGUCAGGGAAGAAACGGUGAAGGCUAAUAUCCUUUGCUAAUGACGGUACCUGAAGAAUAAGCACCGGCUAACUACGUGCCAGCAG
Molecule: ribosomal RNA, 468 nt
Filed under: uncultured bacterium
Lineage: Bacteria
Description: bacterial SSU rRNA
Rfam family: Bacterial small subunit ribosomal RNA
Source: RNAcentral